AGUUAGCUAACGAGUUCCAAAUAGGACGAAAUGCGCAUCCUGGAU
Molecule: non-coding RNA, 45 nt
Filed under: Trichobilharzia regenti
Lineage: Eukaryota; Metazoa; Platyhelminthes; Trematoda; Strigeidida; Schistosomatidae
Source: RNAcentral